Molecule: ribosomal RNA, 237 nt
Filed under: Salmonella enterica subsp. enterica serovar Goldcoast
Lineage: Bacteria; Pseudomonadati; Pseudomonadota; Gammaproteobacteria; Enterobacterales; Enterobacteriaceae
Description: partial 23S ribosomal RNA
Rfam family: Bacterial large subunit ribosomal RNA
Source: RNAcentral
UGGAAGGGCCAUCGCUCAACGGAUAAAAGGUACUCCGGGGAUAACAGGCUGAUACCGCCCAAGAGUUCAUAUCGACGGCGGUGUUUGGCACCUCGAUGUCGGCUCAUCACAUCCUGGGGCUGAAGUAGGUCCCAAGGGUAUGGCUGUUCGCCAUUUAAAGUGGUACGCGAGCUGGGUUUAGAACGUCGUGAGACAGUUCGGUCCCUAUCUGCCGUGGGCGCUGGAGAACUGAGGGGG